UUUAAUUUAAUAUGGAACUGGGAAAACGGGCAAAUUUUGAUAAUAAAAUUCAUGGCACUUGCUUUAUAACCUGAUCAAAUGAUUGAAAUAACAUUCAAUUGGCUUACUCGGAUCCUACCAAAUGAAAUCAUGAAUGUACUAAUGCCUUUUAUACGGUAUUUUCGUCGACAAUGGAUUAGAAAUACCAGGCCAGAACAAUUAAGUGUAUUCAGUUUAAUAAACCGAACAAAUAAUUAUUCCGAAGCGUAUAAUCGGGUACUGUGCUUACGACUUGGUGCUCAUCCGACAAUCUGGGAUUUUACAGAGCGUUUAACUAAUUUACAAUGUAUGUGUCACAUUGAAUACAUGUCUUAAAGAAUGGUAAACGAUGAUAGACGUCGUAGUCAAAGUCACGUCCACGCUCACAAUGAGAAACUACAAAAAUUGUGGUGGUUAUUGCAAGAAGGCUUUAUUGAUAACGCACAGUUUUUAGCUUAUGCAAGUCCUCUUUUGCGUGCUUUCAGUGAAGUAGACAAUAAUCCAGACAGUUUUAACAUUUUUCGUGAAUAUGAUCAACACCAGAUUUUCUAGGAGUUAGAAAUUGAU
This is a long non-coding RNA of Cotesia glomerata, 585 nucleotides long. RefSeq lists it as uncharacterized. NCBI's taxonomy places the organism in Eukaryota, Metazoa, Arthropoda, Insecta, Hymenoptera, Braconidae. The transcript is spliced from 3 exons. The record is from RefSeq and is a predicted model, not a curated record.